Molecule: long non-coding RNA, 419 nt
Organism: Ficedula albicollis (Collared flycatcher)
Lineage: Eukaryota; Metazoa; Chordata; Aves; Passeriformes; Muscicapidae
Exons: 4
Source: RefSeq, a predicted model, not a curated record
GCCGUGCAGGCCGCCCGCCACCGGCCCCGGAACCGGAACGGGAACACGCACGGCGCCCCGAAGGCGUUCCCCAGCAGCGUGAAGGUCUCUGGGAGGAAAAAAUGACAGCUGACCAUUCAUCUCAUACAGAGAAGCAGCUUCCCACAUGCACGUCUAAGAGUUCAGUGCUCAGAUAACCUGUGAGGUGGCUUUUAGAGCAUUCAUUCUGGAUGUGGGAAAGACAUUCAAAUCAGACUUCAGCUAAUCAAAAAAGCAAAACCUGGGUGGUGAGAGCUGCUGGAGAUAAAGUCCUGCUGCAGAGAGGACAGUGGCUGGUCCUGCUCGGUUCUGCAGAAACAAUACAGUGUGAGGCCAGUGCCAGCCAGCAGAACAAAGAUCAGCAUGAAAAUCAACCCACCUAAACUACUGGAUGAUGAAGC